This 406-nucleotide ribosomal RNA is filed under the name uncultured bacterium. RNAcentral's name for it is "partial 16S ribosomal RNA". It matches the Rfam family "Bacterial small subunit ribosomal RNA", at positions 30 to 526 of the family's 1533-position model. The record is from RNAcentral.
AUUGAACGCUGGCGGCAGGCCUAACACAUGCAAGUCGAACGAUUGGCUGACUUGUGAGUAAUCUCUUGGAUACUGCCCGAUGGAGGUGGAUAACUACUUGAGACGGUAUCUAAUACCCCAUACCAUCGGCUGUGCCGAUCUGGGAUUGGCUUGUAGGUGAGGAAACGGCUCACCUAGGCGACGAUCGCUAGCUGGUCUGAGAGUAUGACCGGCCACACUGGAACUGAGACACGAGCCAGACUCCUAAGGGAGGCAGCAGUGGGGAAUAUUGCAAAAUGGGCGAAAGCCUGAUGCAGCCAUGCCGAGUGUAUGAAGAAGGCCUUCGGGUUGUAAAGUACUGUCAGCGGGGAGGCGUUACCCGCAGAAGAAGCACCGGCUAACUCCGUGCCAGCAGCCGCGGUAAUAC